GACGAACGCUGGCGGCGUGCUUAACACAUGCAAGUCGAACGGAAAGGCCCUGCUUUUGUGGGGUGCUCGAGUGGCGAACGGGUGAGUAACACGUGAGUAACCUGCCCUUGACUUUGGGAUAACUUCAGGAAACUGGGGCUAAUACCGGAUAGGAGCUCCUGCUGCAUGGUGGGGGUUGGAAAGUUUCGGCGGUUGGGGAUGGACUCGCGGCUUAUCAGCUUGUUGGUGGGGUAGUGGCUUACCAAGGCUUUGACGGGUAGCCGGCCUGAGAGGGUGACCGGCGACAUUGGGACUGAGAUACGGCCCAGACUCCUACGGGAGGCAGCAGUGGGGAAUAUUGCACAAUGGGCGGAAGCCUGAUGCAGCAACGUCGCGUGCGGGAUGACGGCCUUCGGGUUGUAAACCGCUUUCGCCUGUGACGAAGCGUGAGUGACGGUAAUGGGUAAAGAAGCACCGGCUAACUACGUG
This 468-nucleotide ribosomal RNA is filed under the name uncultured bacterium. RNAcentral's name for it is "partial 16S ribosomal RNA". It matches the Rfam family "Bacterial small subunit ribosomal RNA", at positions 28 to 507 of the family's 1533-position model. The record is from RNAcentral.